Molecule: long non-coding RNA, 391 nt
Organism: Haliotis rubra (blacklip abalone)
Lineage: Eukaryota; Metazoa; Mollusca; Gastropoda; Lepetellida; Haliotidae
Exons: 3
Source: RefSeq, a predicted model, not a curated record
CUUCAUCAAAGUCAUCUUAAUGCUAAGACCUUCAUAUCUAUGAAGCAGUAAUAAAGCCUAACAAAAGUCUUAGCACUAAGAUUUGUAUUUUACUCAUGGGCAGGCUACAGGACAGUGAAUACUGAAUAUAUUGCCAACUCAGCUGUUUUUGUUUGAGUGUUCAUUUCAAUAGGAAGAGGUUUUAUUUCAAUCAAUAAUCAGGUCUAUUCGACUACAGCAAAUUUUUGAUAACCUGAGUGUUGUGCCAAGAUUGGACAGACUCAAUUCUAAAUAUACAACAUUCAGCAGCAGAUGGUGUAACAUUAAACAAUUCAUUCAACAAUUUUACUGAUACGAUACCUUUCUGCAUGACAUCCACAGAAGAUUACCGAGUCCAGUGAACACAAACCUA